This 429-nucleotide ribosomal RNA is filed under the name Chloroflexota bacterium. RNAcentral's name for it is "Chloroflexi bacterium partial 16S ribosomal RNA". It matches the Rfam family "Bacterial small subunit ribosomal RNA", at positions 355 to 776 of the family's 1533-position model. Lineage: Bacteria; Bacillati; Chloroflexota. The record is from RNAcentral.
UGGGGAAUAUUGCACAAUGGGCGCAAGUCUGAUGCAGCCAUGCCGCGUGUAUGAAGAAGGCCUUCUGGUUGUAAAGUACUUUCAGGGGGGAGGAAGGGAGUAAAGUUUAUACCUUUCUUCAUUGAUGUUACCCGCAGAAGAAGCCCCGGCUCACUCCGUGCCAGCAGCCGCGGUAAUACGGAGGGUGCAAGCGUUAAUCGGAAUUACUGGGCGUAAUGCGCACGCAGGCGGUUUGUUAAGUCAGAAGUGAAAUCCCCGGGAUCAACCUGGGAACUGCAUCUGAUACUGGCAUGCUUGAGUCUCGUAGAGGGGUGUGGAAUUCCAGGUGUAGCGGUGAAAUGCGUAGAGAUGUGAGGGAAUACCGGUGGCGAAGGCAGCCCCCUGGACGAAGACUGACGCUCAGGUGCGAAAGCGUGGGGAGCAAACAGG